This 20134-nucleotide long non-coding RNA is filed under the name Zostera marina. RNAcentral's name for it is "long non-coding RNA (ZMAR_LNC004879)". Lineage: Eukaryota; Viridiplantae; Streptophyta; Magnoliopsida; Alismatales; Zosteraceae. The record is from RNAcentral.
UAAAAUUGAAAAUAAACCGAUAUUAUAGUGUAAAAUUUCUAAGGUCAACCGACUGGAAUUUUGAAUCCAAGUUAGGAGUUUAUAUAUGCCGACCGGAGCACGGAUCACAACCUACCAGUCCCGGCCACACUCAAUGUGCUUGGGUGCGGUCACACAAUCUUGACAGCCUAUAAUCCAUCUAAUGGUGGGUUAAUUUUUUUUUGAAUGGCUCAUAGGGGAAUCUUGAUUUGGAUGCGUUGGUCCGAAUCUUAUUUUUCCUGGCCUAUCAAAAAAUAAUAAUGCUGCCACCUCAUAGGCCAUAGCAUGUGGGGAGAUAGCGCCGGCUACCUGUGUUAUGGGGUUUAUAACCUGCUAUAGCGCACUCAACUUAAACCAUGGUUGAUGCAAUCUCAAUUUGCUUCUUCAUGGUUCCCAAGGAGUUUUACCCAAUACUUUGUUUCAAAUUUCAGCAAUUUUAAUUUAUACGGGUGAACUUCAAAAUUUCAGUACCUGAAAUAUAUGAAGCUCAGUAUCUCUUCGCUAUUUCGUUGUGCUCUGCCAUAGCUAACCAUGAAUUGUACAUUCUGACAGGCUUUUUACAUAUACUCCUUGGUUGAAUAGCUACCGAUUGUGCGAGGUGGUUACUGUAUCCGUGUAAGAGAUUGGUAAAUAUAGAAGGCCAAGUCAAAUUCCAGUGAUCAUUGGCCAAAGCCCGGCCAAUUCUACUAGCCCUGUAGUUCUGCCCAAUCCCACCAUUGCACCAAGUAUAAUAGUCCCCAACAUAGUCCAGCUCAGUCAGACCUGCUUGUGUGAUUGCACUGACAAAGUAUGAAAGCAUUGACCUGUUUCCUUGAAAUCAUUGAUCUGUUGCUAGGAGGAUUUCGUUGAAGUCACCGAGCACAAUCCAAUUUUCUUGCAAGAGUUCAGGAGUUAGAGAGACAAUAUCUCAAGCCCAUACUUCUCUAAUUUCAACUUCAUUCUUACAAUAAACCACAGUCACAAACAGUGAUAGACCUCCCAUGUUUUUAAUUUCAUGUGGAUUCGUUAGGUCUUCCUUCACACUGAUGAUUUCCACAUCCCAAAUAAUUGGGUUCCAUAAGACCCAAAUUGAGCCCCCUGGCCCAUUGGAUUUCAAUUCGAAAUAGAUGCCCAGUUUCUGCCAAAGAAGUCCUUAGUGAGUUUUGCUUCAAAAAAAAAGUCCUUAGUGAGUUGUUCAUUAGCUUGCUUGAUUUUAGUUUCAAGCAAGCCUAAAAUUGCAUAGUAUUUAAAACAGAUUUUCUUAAUCUCAUUCGCUGUUUCUUAACAGAUUUUAGUUUCAAGUAAGCCUAAUGUUCCUUACAUCCCUGCUGAUCAUUUUUUCUUUGGAGUUGGGUUGUCCGCCGUUUUUUCCGCUGUGAUGCUUUGGAUUCGAGAUAUAGGCGAUCUUCCUUGUCAGAGUGUGAUGAUUCUGGAUGGGUCGUACUCUUCUCAGCAGUCUGAUGUGGCAUCUUCUUCCUCCAGUAUAUGACCGGUAGAUCUAACAGCGGGGAUUCGCUGCCAGGAAGAGGCAGGGAAGUUCCUCUGUUUGGAGCAUGGUUCUAAAUGCCUCCAGGUUUAUUUUAGGGUCAAGGAACACCCCAAAUCUUUCCCAAUCCUCCCCCAAUCUGUGCUCACUUAAAGGUUUAAUUUAAGUAUUUUUUACCAGUACUAUACUAUUAAAAAUUAUAGAUAUCUUAAAUAAGUAUAUAAAUAUAUGAAAUUAGUAUAUAAGUAUAAGAAAUUUAUAUAUUUAUAAGAUAAUUAUGAUAAACUUCGUCAAGGCCAUGACCAUAUGAUAAUUAUGAUAAAGUGGUAAUUUUUUUUAAUUUAGAAUGAGAAUUUUUUUGAAAUGUCUUUAAAAAAAUGUUUUAAUCCUUUGAAUUCUUUUCAAACGAUUAAAUCAUAUUUUUUACAACAUUUCUCUAUCUUCAUUCAUAGUCACUUAGUCAGUCUCAUUGGUUAAUUUACAAUAUUUUUAGACGUAAAAUUGGAAAACUCAUUAUAAUUUUUUUUGUCAUUGCACAUAAAGGACAACUCAGAACGUGAAACUAGUAAAAAUUCAAAACAAGAAAUCUCUCCAACAGACAUCAAUGACAGGGUUAGAAUCAAAUAUGAACAAGAUACCAUGCUCUUCUUAAGUUGGUUUAUUUAAGUUUGAGCUGUAUUUUUGAAAUUUCAGGUCAUUGAUUACCAUUCCAGAGGAGAGCUUUAUUCUCUCACAGUUGUACAGUUGAAAAGCUUCCUAUCCUCCAAAAAUGCCAAAGUUGGAGGUAGAAAACAAGAUCUCAUUGAACGGAUAAGUGCAUUACUUAAGUAAAUAAAUUUAGUACAUGUUCAAUUUUAUAUAACGUUCCAAUUUUUGAAGUAGAAAUAAGCAUUGCCUGUUUGGCUGUUUUAUAUCCAUUAGUAUGUAGAUGUAAAUGAUUUACGUCAAGAUUAAAUAAAGUAAACUCGCGAAUAGAAAUUGAUAAAAUUAAGCAAAAGACGGAUCUAAUGGAUUGAAACAUUUACUCGGUUAAACCUAAAAUAUUGCAUGUUAAUCCUGGCUUAAUCGGCACUAAUAACCAGCUUGUCCAUCAGAUUGGAUACCACUGCAGUGGAAUUCUGUAGAAGCUCCACCUUUUGUUUCAACCGUUCUCUCUUCCUUGCAGUAGCUGGACUUUCAUCAAGCAUCUUCUCAAUCCCACCUUUCCCAGGACCGACGAGCUCAUUAAGAAUAAACUUCUCCAGAUUAACCUCAACAAGAUUCUUCAUGCUGUAGAACAUGCAGCGCCAGACCAUCCACCAGACGAAGAAUGAUGGUUUUCCAGUAAGCAGUCAUUCUCAUUUUCAAAUCAAACGCCUGUUCAGCUAUCACUGCAUUUUCCCUCAGAUGAAGGAUGUUUAAUUGCCCGAACAGCUGCAGAUUCAGUGUUGCUGGCUUCGAUUUGUUAAUGAUUUUUUCCUUGAACUCAUUCUGUUGGGUCAUGAGAGAUAUGUAGGUCCGCGAGUAAUCCACGUUGGAGGUAUAAUCCGUCGUCCUCUCCAUCUCCAACAUGAUCCUUACGAACUCGAGAGACUCGUCUUUCAGAGUCUGUAUAAGUUGAUCGAUAGCCUUACGUACACAUGUCUGCAAUUGUGGAAAAUUCUCACAGUGCCAAGAGAACACACGCCAAACAACAUCGUCGAUAUAAGCCCAGAUCUUAGAGACAUACAUCGAAGGAGUGUGUUCGAUCUCCUUGAUAUUUUUUCUCAUAACAGUUAGAAAAGCUGAACGAGGGAGGAAGUUGGGGAGCCGGAUUCCUUUUGAUUCUUCCAAAAUGGAGAUUUCUUCCAUGAGAAAAAGGUUUUCCGACUUCUGUAUCGGAUAAAUUGGAAGUGCCUUGGCGAAAUCAUCAAGCAUGUCAAAAAGACGUGCGGUGCAGUGCAUGGAUUGAUCGUCGGGAAAUUCUUCAAACUCACCUCUGAUCAAAAUCUUACGUAAAGACUCUUUGGCCCGUCCUAAUAGAAGCAUCAGUGAUAUCAUUGCAUCCGAUUCAGAUGUUAGAUUCUGCGGCAUCUGAUUCAACUCACAAAGGCUUACGCUCAACCUCUGAUUUAUUUUUUUCACUAUCUCAGGCAAACUGCGAGCGAUGCUAGACGCUUGAAUCUCGACAAGCUUCUGUGCUAAAACUGGAACGCCAACAAUGGAUUUGUCGAUCCUUGAGAGGAGUGGAUGGGAUCUAAACAUCUCAGCUUCAAUGCCGCGAGCGACUUCAUACGUCUCGUCGUUUAUCCUAUUUCUCACACAAACGUAACCGAGACCAAUGUUUACAUCAUCGGCAGUUACCUUUUCCAGUAAACCCUCCGGUGAUCUAUCGGACUUGGUGACCACAGCAAGAGUUCUCUCCCCGUUCUUGUCAACUUGCUGAGACAUACGUAUGGACUCGCAUGUUGGAAAAUCAACAUUGGCUGAGAGUACAUUCAAAAUGAUACUUUCGAUUGGAGAUAUGUACUCCAUGAUUAUACUAUGAAUCUGAUCGUAAAUAUCAGCAGUUGACCAUGGACGGGAACACGUGUUAUUCCAGGAAGAUCAACCAUAGUUAAAUCCGGUACAUCUUUUUUCUUGACAACAAGUGUGAGUGGUACAUUCGAUAUGCCCUUACCGUUGCCUGCAAUCUCAUCAGUGGCGGCAACGAUAGCAUGAGAGACGGAUUUCUCCGUGGUAAUGAUGGACUUAUCAUUAUAUUCUAGAACCAAUUCUGGUUCUGCUCUCUUAGAAUCAUUCUGGAGACGCAUAACCAACGGGACGCGGGUGCAAAUUCCUUGGCCUCGCGGGAGAUUUAUACCGGCGAGGGAUUCCAGCACGCUGGAUUUACCACUAGACUGAUCUCCGACGACGACAAUGGUGGGAAGAUUGAUGCCUUCUUGCAUUACAUUCAACUGGCGCAGCCGAUCGACUGCGUCAAGCAACGGACGUAUCUUGUGGUUGAAGGACGACACCAACGGAGCAUCUGUUUUCGGACUCAUUGUAGUAGCGAGAUGUAAUAGACAAGGAUUAAGCUGAAGUUGAUCCAUCCAAGGAGUUAGAGGUGGAUAUAUAUAUAGACAAUAAUUAAAUCGAAGGAAUUUCAAUCGAUGGAGUUGAAACGAAUCUAUCUAAUAAACCGUAAUUGCAUUAAUUAACGUACUGCAUGAACUGAAUUAUGAAUUAUAUUUAUUUUCAAGUUUUGUAACCGGCGGACUAUAUUCAUAAUACCAGCGCCGGCCGAAGUCCUACUACUGUUCACUGUCGUAGUAAUUAUCAGGUGUAAUCCCGUCUUGAUUCCCGUAUAAAAGCGGGUAGAGAUUGAGAGGCUUAAUGACCUAAACAUUAAUUAGACUUAAGAUGCAUGCACGCUGUUGCGACGUAAUUGGGUUGCGUUUGAUGAUGAGCGCGACAGUUGGACAGAAACGUGUCGCGAUAUUAAUUAUUUUGCACCGGCGACUAUUUAAGAAUGGGAAAAAGAAUAUUAUAUCACUUAAAUAGUUAUUUGGUCAGUUAAUUUACCUUCGUCUUUAUCUCUUUCGACACUGACUGUUGCUCUCACUGUGCUGGUAGAUCGACACAGGAAGGGACAAUAUUAAAAGCUUUUUUAAUUGGAAAGGGGGACACUGGUAGUCUGGGACAGGGAUUUCUUGACGGUUUUAGAAAACAAAAUUAAACAUUAUUUCUUAUAAAUAGAAUGGAUGGAAGAAGAUUAAAAUCAAGAAAUCAAUGAUUAAGAUUGAGUUUCUCAUUUUGAUUACUAACCUUAAUUAUGAUGAUGAAACUAACCCUAAUAAUAACACUUUUAGCGGUUUGGACCCAGUUGGUCAGGUCCUUAUACUAGCUUGGGUGCCGGUCCUGUAAGGACUAACAGGACCUGGGGUGUAUUAGUAAAUAUAUUAUAUAAAAUCAACAAUAUAAUUAAUACAUGCAGGUAGCAUAAAUAAUACAUUACUAAUUUAUAUUUAAUUCUUUUAAUUUAACGAGCCUUAACAAUUUAACAGAACACUUAAGCAAUUUAACGGGGAAAGGAAAAAAUUAAAACCCGUGGAUGAGACUGAAAUGUACCAGCUGAAAGGGGGACACGUGACAUUAGGGAAAGGGUUAGACCCCGACCUAAGAGCCAAGUUUGUGACUGUCCUGGAGGAGCACCAGGACAGGUUCGUUUGGGAGGGUGAGGCUCCGACACAGAUUGCGCGUCAAAUCGUGACGCACAAACUUAAUGUCGACCCAUCCAUCCCAGCUUGUCGCAAUCUAACGUAGUAAGUAAGUGACGUGUCAAAUUAUUCUUAUGAGAGUGGGUCCGGGUCGACCCCACGAUUAAAAUUAUUUAAGGAUUUUAUUCUUCGAUAUUAAAAUUAUUUAUGAGAGUUGGGUUUGAAACGGUCUGAUUUUAAUAUUAUUUUUAUUCAUUCAUUCUUAUAGAAUAAAAUUCUAAGUUCACUCUAAAUGUGGUCAAAAAUACUUUCAAAUAUGAGGUGUUCAUUUUAUAGAUAUAGACAGAUGCAAUUAUAACCGUUUAUUAGAAAAAUGAUCACUUCAGUUUACAAGUCAAUCAUAAUACAACUGAUACGAAUCUCAUAUUUUCCUCUCAUUUUGUAUAUUCCUUCCAUUCUUCUCCAAAACAAACACUCCUCCCCCACGUGCUGCCAUUCCGUCUCCGCUUAGUCCGGGCACACAGUCUCUGUUCACCUUACUCCCGAUGGCAAGGCUAAUUAACUCCGUAACUCCCAUAGGUGAUGACCUUUGUUUCGCUUUGGCAUUUGUGAAGCAAAUGUAUUUCGACGAGGCCCUAGCGCUUAUCAUUUCGUCUGGCGAUCGAUCCAUCCUCUCCAUUCGUCGUCUAUGCCCAGGAGCAGAAUGACGGCCUCCGAUCCGAAUACUCAUCAUUCUCCGACGAUGUAGAACCUAACAUCCCUUGGACCACAGAAGCCCUCGGAUGCGAGCAAGAGGCAGUGAAUCUGUGGAUAGGCAAUGGGAGAUCAGAGACGUCGUUCCACAAGGACCAUUACGAGAACCUCUACGCAGUUGUGAAUAGGGAGAAACAUUUUCUGCUCUUACCACCCGCCAAGCAACAUCGGCUCUACGUCCGUCACUUCCCAUCGGCCCAAUACACUAAAGGAAUAAGUCAAGGACUUAAAUACAAAUUAAGGUUUUAUUUUGAACUUACAGGAAUUCAAGAAUCAAAGUGCAAAAUUUACAAAUCAAGAUCCAAGUGCAAUUAGUUAAUUGUUAGAUCUAAGUUAGUUAAGUUUUGUUAAUUGUAAUUACUAGUUAACAUAUAUGAGAAAUAUUUCCUUUUCCCUUUCAUUCUUUUAUAUACUUCCUAUAUACAAUUUAAGGAUUUCUUCCCCAAAUCCAAAAGUCAUCGCCGGCGAACGUCGACUGCUACAGAUGGCUGCCACGGAUGGAAAUACGGGAAAUAACAUGGUAUCGGCUGGUAGGGACACUUCCGCACCUCUUUUUCCUCAAGGCUCCGCGGGCUCUGGCUCCGGUUCUGGAUCUGCCCUCAAAAUUUUCCGGUCAUCAUCGGAAUCCGGCGAACAUGACAACCAGAGCCCCCCUAUUGCGCAAAACCGCUGAAUAAAAACCACAACAUCUGGACCUCCCAAGAGGAAAAGGUCCACACAAAACUAUAGCUCUGAGAUAUAUGAUCGGACUUCACCAUAUUAUCUCACCGCCGGCAAUCACCCCGGCGCCUCAAUGGUUUCCGAUAAAAUUACUGGUGAGAAUAAUUAUGUUACCUGGUCUAAUGCUAUGAGAUUAAGUCUUGUAUCCAGGAGAAAACUACCGUUCAUCAACGGAAAGAUAACAAGGCCAGAUUCCGAUAGUGAUGAGGCCGAAGCUAUUGAGAUUAUUAAGUCUGUUUUAAUUAUUAUUAAGUUUUUAGUUUGUUAAGUUGUGUUAAGUAUGUAACUAGGGUUUAGUAUAUAUAGUCAAGUUGUAAUAUUUUAUUCUUUGAAUUUCAAAAUUUAAAUCUAAAACCCUAUUUUGGGUUUCUCCCAAUCGUCUCUUCACUUCCCUCCGCGACUCUUGAUCGCCAAACCCUAAAACGCCAACUCUGUUCACGCUCCACUCCGGUCUCUCGCGAUCUUCAUGGUAUCAGAGCCUCGUGGAGUGCUCUGCUGUUGAUCUCGCUGCAAAGCUUUUCGAAACCUUCCAGGUUCACGUCGCUCCGACUCUGUCAGGACCUCAACCAAAUUUAAGAUACCCAAGCAGACAGAGAAGACCCCCAACAAAACUGAAUGAUUAUUUCUGUUCAUUUGCCACAAGCAAUGGCAAAUCUAAAGGCACUUCAUACCCUAUGCAUGACUACUUAACAUAUAAAAGGCUAUCUACUUCCCACACUGACUACUUAGAUAAAAUCUCUAUUACAACUGAACCAUCAUCCUUCAAACAAUCAAGUCAAAGUCCUGAAUGGGUGAAAGCUAUGAAUGAUGAACUUGCAGCUCUAGAACUAAAUGAUACUUGGGAAAUAGUACCAAGACCAAAAGAAAGAAAAAUCGUUGGUUCCAGAUGGGUAUACAAAGUGAAACACAAAUCUAAUGGCCAAAUUGAAAGGCUAAAGGCCAGACUUGUAGCAAGGGGACACACUUAGAUAGAAGGGUUUGAUUACAAAGAGACAUUUUCACCUGUGGCAAAAAUUAUCUCUGUUAGGACCCUUCUAGCAGUGACCUCAAUCAAGAGCUAGACAACAUACCAAAUGGAUGUGAGCAAUGCUUUCCUACAUGGUGAAUUAUCUGAGGAAAUCUAUAUGUCCCCUCUCCCAGGGAUGCUACCAGCAGAUGACACCAGGGUUUGCAAAUUAAAAAAGUCUCUAUAUGGCUUAAAACAAGCAAAUAGGAAUUGGUAUGAAAAACUUACAUCAGCCUUGACCAAAUUUGGAUAUAAUCAAUCUCAUUCUGAUUAUACAUUAUUCUUUAAAUCAAAUGCAAAAUCAUAUACUUGUCUACUCAUAUAUGUGGAUGAUUUGAUCAUUUCAGGAGAUGAUGAAUUUGAGAUACAAAAAUUAAAAGAAUAUCUACACCUUCAAUUCCAUAUAAAAGAUUUGGGCAAGCUUAAAUACUUCUUAGGAAUUGAGGUAUCUCAAUCUAACAUGGGUAUAUUUCUAUCACAAAGAAAGUAUGAUCUUGAUAUUUUACACGAUUUUGGUCAAUUGGGCUCAUCACCAUCCAAAAUCCCAAUGUCUCAUAAUUAUAAGAAUUCUGAAAAUGAUGCUCCACUAAAGGAUCCAUCAAUUUAUAGGAAGCUGAUUGGAAAACUGUUAUACUUAACAAUUACAAGACCUGAUAUUUCAUUUGCUGUUAGUCAUCACAGCCAAUUCUUGGCAGAAUCAAAACAAUCACAUUUUAACUCUGCUAUAAAGAUACUGAAAUAUAUCAAAGGUGCACCAGGUAAAGGUAUUCUAUAUAAGAAAGAUGCACCUCUACAACUAGAGGCUUACUGUGAUGCAGAGUGGGCAGAUUGCCCUAACACCAGAAGAUCUAUAACAGGAUACACAAUCCUAUUGGGUGGCUCAGCCAUAGCAUGGAAAUCAAAGAAGCAAACAACUAUAAGCAGAUCAUCUGCUGAAAGUGAAUAUAAAGCUAUGGCAUCAACUGUAUGUGAGAUAAUGUGGUUGCAUUAUUUUUUGAAUGACCUGCAGGUGAAACCAUCAGGAGAAACAAUGUUACACUGUGACAAUAUGGCUGCAAUCCAUAUUGCAACAAACCCAGUAUUUCAUGAGCGAACUAAACACAUAGAGAUUGACUGUCAUUUAAUUCGUGAUCAUCUUCAAGCUGGAUUAUUCAAACUACAACAUGUCUCUACAACUUCACAAAUAGCAGACAUUCUAACAAAACCAGCAAGUCUUGAAUCACUACGCAAUUUACUACCCAAGCUGGGACUAUAUGAUAUACACUCUUCAGCUUGAGAGGGUAUUGAGAUUAUUAAGUCUGUUUUAAUUAUUAUUAAGUUUUUAGUUUGAUUAAGUUGUGUUAAGUAUGUUAGGCCCAACUCGGAUAUUGGCCCAUUAGAAACUAGGGUUUAGUAUAUAUAGUCAAGUUGUAAUAUUUUAUUCUUUGAAUUUCAAAAUUUAAAUUUAAAACCCUAUUUUGGGUUUCUCCCAAUCGUCUCUUCACUUCCUUCCGCGACUCUUGAUCGUCAAACCCUAAAACGCCAACUCUGCUCACGCUUCACUUCGGUCUCUCGCGAUCUUCAGAAGCUUGGGAGACCGUUAACGGACUCAUUCUGUCUUGGAUAAUCAACGGAGUAUCCCCACAAAUUGCAGGAUCAAUUAGUCAUACAGAUUCUGCUCAUGCCGUGUGGCUCGACUUAGAAGAAAGGUAUAAACAAAGGAAUGCUCCUAAGACAAAUGAAUUACGGUAUGAACUAAACACACUCUACCAAGGGAAUGAUUCAAUUGCUUGCUUUUAUGAAAAGUUUAAAUCAGUUUGGAAUCAAUUCAAUGAGUUAGAUGAUCUUGAAUUACGUGAUCAUUGCAAUCCUAAGUAUAAAAAGAAAUUGGAAAAGGAUAAAAUCCACCAAUUUUUACUAGGAUUAAAUGAGAGUUUUGCUUCCAUUAGAGGGCAUAUUUUAUCAUAUGUAGAUCUGCCUACAAUGAGCAAAGUGUUCUAUUUGGUCACCCAAGAGGAGAAACAAAAAUCGAAUUUCAGAGAUAAAACAGGUCAAGAAAACAUUGCUGGUUUUUUUGCAAGUAAAACAGGAAAAUCUCCAGCAACACAAGAAAAGAAAGGACUCUACAGUCACAGUAGAAAAAAGCUUGAUACAAGCAAAUAUUGCGAAAACUGUAAGUAUUAUGGUCAUUUAAAGAAAGAUUGUUUUCAUAUUAUUGGUUUUACAACAAAGAAAGCUAAAGAUAAAGAGAAGAAAGAUGGGGCCAAGAAAUCAAAUGAAGAUACAAAUGAUAUGGCAAAUCAAGCAUCUACUUCCUAUCAAAUUCCUUUACUAUCAGAUGAAGACAUGGCAAUACUAAAAGAAUUAUUAAGCAAAACAACAGGUAUGAAUUUUAACUUUCAUUCCAUGAUUUUUAAAAACACUUGGAUUGUUGAUACUGAAGCAUCUCAGCAUAUGACUGGAGAUAUUAAAAUGAUUGAAACAAUUUCAAAAAAUAAAAUCAAUGAAUUUGUUACCAUACCUAGUGGGGAAAUUCGCAAAAUACAAAAUAAAGGAGAAACAAAAAUCUCAGAAAAUAUCAUACUUAAAAAUAUAAUGUAUAUACCUGAUUUUAAAGUAAACCUAAUAUCAGUACAUAAAUUAGCUGUUGAUAAUAAUUUAGAUAUAAUUUUUGAUAAAAAUGGUUUUAAAUUUCAGGAAAGAAAGUCAGGGAAUGUGAUUGGUCUGGGUGAAUGCAAACAAGGAUUAUACUUCCUAAACGCAGCAAAGUCACAAGUAUAUGCAAAUCAAGCUGUGGAUUACAAGACUUGGCACAUGAAGCUAGGUCAUUUAUCCCCACAAAAAUUGCAGAUUUUAACAAAUACCAGUAAUGAUUUUAGAGAAUGUUGUAAAAACAAUAAAGUUGAUCAAUUUUCAGAUCAAACAUAUAAUACAUUUGUUUCAAAUAAUAAAUUUGUUUUUCAAAAUAAAAAUAAAUCUUGUGAAAUUACAGAAAAUAAUAAUAAAAAUAAAAUUUCAGAAAAUAAAAAUAAAAUACCUUUUCUAGAAUGUGAAAUAUGUCAAUUAGCGAAGCAAACUAAAAUAUACAAAGAGUAUAACCAAAACAAAAGAUAUCUUUGAAAUAAUUCACAUAGAUAUUUGGGGGAAAUUUCCAAUAAAAACUCAUGAUGAUCAAAAUUAUUUCCUAACUAUAGUAGACGACUAUAGUAGGACAACAUGAGUCUAUUUAAUACCAAACAAAUCAUAUGUUUAUGAAUGCAUUAAGAAAUUCAUAAUAAAAAUUAAGGAUAUUUUCUCUAAAAAUAUUAAACUAAUAAGAAAUGAUAAUGGGGGAGAAUUCACUUCAUUAAAAUUUAACAAUAUGUUAGAUGAAUUUGGAAUAAUUCAUCAAUACUCAUGCCCUUACUCCCGUAAGCAAAAUGUCAAAGUUAAAAGAAAACAUGAACAUUUAUUAGAAAUAGCAAGAGCUAUACAUUUCCAAGCCAAUAUACCUAUGAUAUAUUGGGGAGAAUGUAUUUUAACAGCUACUUACAUAAUAAAUAGAAUUCCUUCAAAAAUAUUGGAAAAUAAAACACCAUAUGAAGUCUUAAAUAAUAAAAAACCAAAUUUUAAAAUAAUUAGAACCCUAGGUUGUUUAUGUUAUGCAACCACAAAUCAUAGGGAACAUAAAUUUUUCCCAAGAACUUUCAAAGGAGUUUUUAUGGGAUAUCCACCAAACAUAAAAGGAUAUUUAGUUCUCGAUUUAGAAACUGAAAAAUUUCACAUCACAAGAGAUGUAACAUUUAGAGAAAAUAUUUUUCCUUUCAAGCAAAAUGAAAAAGAAAAAAUUGUUAAAGAUAACUAACUAUCUUGACGAAUUUUAUAAAAACAUCAUAAAUGAAAAUAAUAAAAAUCAACAUGAUUGUAAAACUAAAAUAAAAGAAUAUCCUAAAAUAGACCUAGAAAAUAAAAAGAUACCCGUUCUUCAAAAUUUAGAUACAUUAAACCUAAAUUUUGAAGAACAAGAUGCAUCAGAUGUUGAACAACAAAAUAGUCAAAAUCAACCUGAAAUUUCAACACAACCAGAAGUAAACACCAUUGAGCACGAAUAUACACCACAAUUGGAAGAAACAACAGAAAAAUCAUGUUCGAUAAACCAAGAAGAAAUAUUUGAACAAAAUAUAAUAGUUCAGCAAAACAAUCACGAUAUAAAUAAAGAAAUAAAUAUUAUAAAAAGCAGAGCAGGAAGAAUCAUAAAACAACCUAAACAUUUUCAAGAAUACGAACUUGAAAAUAAUAAUAGUUCAAAAUACCUCAUGAGCAAUCAAGUUUUCUAUCAUAGGAUAAACAAAAAACACAAAUACUUAUUAAAACAAAUAAGUAAAAACAAUGAACCAAAUACAUACAAAGAAGUUUCAGAAAAUCCAAAUUGGAUAGAAGCAAUGAGAAAAGAAAUGGAUGUAUUACAUCAAAACCAUACAUGGGUCCUAACAGAGAUUCCAAAAGACAGAAAAGCUAUAGGAUCAAAAUGGAUAUAUAAAAUCAAAUAUAAACUCAAUGAAGAUAUCGAAAGAUAUAAAGCAAGACUGGUAGCAAAAAGAUUCACACAAAAACAAGGUUUUGAUUUUUUAUGAAACCUUUGCACCAGUAGCAAAGAUAGUAACAAUCAAAACAAUAAUUGUCAUCUUUGUAAUAAAAGGAUGGAAUCUAUACCAACUAGAUGUAAAUAAUGCUUUUCUAUAUGGAGAGCUAAAUGAAGAGGUUUAUCUAAAACCUCCACGAGGUCUUCUAAAUGAAGGAGACAAAAGAGUAUGUAAGCUAAACAAAUCACUAUAUGGUUUAAAGCAAGCAUCUAGGAAAAUCACUAUAUGGUUUUGAAAAAUUAAAAAAUACAUUAAUACAAAUUGGUUUUGAACAAACAAAAUCAGAUUAUUCAUUGUUCACCAGACAACAAAAUAAAAAUAUAAUAUACAUAAUUAUAUAUGUUGAUGACAUAAUCAUUACAUGAAGUAAUGAAAUUGAAAUUGCACCAAUUUAAACUAGAAGACUUGAGUCAACUAAAUUACUUCUUAGGAAUAGAAGUAUCCAGGUCACCUAAAGGAAUUUUUUGUCACAAAGAAAAUAUGCUUUAGGUAUACUUGAAGAAAGUGGGCUGGCUAUCUGGAGCAAAACCUUCCAAAAUACCCAUGGAAAGACACAUAGACCUAAGAAAUGAUAAAUCCAAAUAAAUAAAUGAUCCCACAUUUUACAAAAAAAUGGUGGGAAAAUUAAUAUAUUUAAACAUAACUAGGCCUGAUUUAAGUUUUCCAAUUCACUGGUUAAGCCAAUUUAUGAGUGAACCAAAAGACAUACAUCUUCAAGCCUUAUUUAAAGUCAUUAGAUAUAUCAAAAAUGCCCUAGGACAAGGUUUAUUAUAUAAAACAAACAAUAAAUUAGAUUUACAUGGAUACUGUGACUCAGACUGAGCAUCAUGUCAAAUAACAAGAAAAUCCACAUCUGGAUUAUGUAUUAUGUUAGGAAGCUCUUUGAUUUUAUGAAAAUCAAAGAAGCAAAACACACUAUCUAGAUCUUCAUGUGAAGCAGAAUAUAGGGUGAUUGCUCAAAUAACAUGUGAAAUCACAUGGAUUCAUCAACUUCUCAAUGAACUUAAAAUAAAGAUAUUAAAACCAACAUCAUUGUAUUGCGACAAUAAAUCAGCAAUACAUCUUGCCAAUAACCCAGUUUUUUAUGAAAGAACUAAGCACAUAAAAAUAGACAGUCAUUUCAUCAGAGAAAUGAUUAGUAAAGGCAAGAUAAUUUUAAAACAAAUUGGAACCAAGUUCCAAAUUGCAAAUAUGCUUACCAAAGCACUUGGAGAAGAAAGUAUAUCUUCAGUAUCCUCCAAACUUGGAAUAUAAAAUAUAUAUUCUCAAGCUUGAGGGGAGAGUAAAGGAAUAAGUCAAUGACUUAAAUACAAAUUAAGGUUUUAUUUUAAACUUACAGGAAUUCAGGGAUUAAAGUGCAAAAUUUACAAAUCGAAUUCGCAUUCGAAUUCGAAUUUUUCCGCAUUCGAAUUUUCGGAUUCCGGAUUCGGAUACCAUAUUGAAAUCCGGAUUUUAUUCGGUCGGAUUCGAAUAUCCGAAAAAUCCUCCGUUAAAAGUCGAAUUCGUUUAUCCGGAUAAAUAUAUAAUAAAUCAAUAUUAUUAUAUUUAUAUACUAUAUAUUUAUAUUAUAAAUCAUUAAACACUUAUCUUAAACCUAAUUACCGAAAUUAUAAUUAUAAAUCUUUAUAACUUAUUAACUUAUAAUUAUUAAAUCAUAACCCUAACCCUAAAGUUAUCUGGAUUCGGAUUAUCCGAAAAUCCGGAUAAUUUAUCCGGAUUCGGAUUUUCAAAUCCGGAUUUUAUUCGGUCGGAUUCGGAUAUCCAGAUAAUUAUUCAAUUUAGAUACCUACAUAUUCGAUCCGAAUCCGACCGAUAUACAAACUUAGGUAGAGGUGAGAUUACGUGUGACAUAUGAGGUAAGGUACAAAUUACAGGUAAGGUACACAUUAGUUGAGAGAGUAGAUGUAGGUAGGGUGAAAAGUCAUAGGUAGGUCUAAAAUGAAUAUUUGUUUCAUGGAGAUAUGUGAAAAUAAAACAAUAAAAAACUUUUAAAAAGGACGGUUGGGAUGAAAAGGUACGGCAUACAACGGCUUAGCAAGGGUGAGCGUUUUUGAACUUACCCUAUUCCGAGCUUAUUGGGAAAAAACUGAAUAUUUAUAAUAUCAGGUACAUAUUUUGAAUGCGUCACCGUAUCUCAUCAAAUCAUGAUCAUUAGUAUUUAAUUCAAUGGUUAAAAUAAUGUACACUAACAUAUGUACGACGUAAAAUAAUAUAUUGCACAAGACACAAACACAUUUACGACGCAAAAUAAUAUACUGCAAGACACUAACACAUGUACGAUACAAAGUUAAUCUAAUGAACGUGUUCACUUAAUACUAGCGUUGCAAAAAAAUUUUGGUAUCCACGUAUUAUAUUCGUUUCAGUUUCGAUUCGGUUAUUAAACAAACCGAACCCGAACCUUGAAAUAAAGUCUUUUAAUUAAACGAACCGAACCGGUUGAAGUUCGACGAACUGUUCGAUUCGUUUAACAUUUUUAUUAUAUUUUAUUAUUUUAGAUUUAUAUUAUAUAACUUUUUAUUAUAAAUUUAUAUUAUAUAUUUUUUAACUUAUGUAUAUUUUUAUAAUUUUUUAUUAACAUAAUUUAUUUUAGAUCAUAUAUACUUGAAAAUCAAUAAGAUGAUGUAAGUUUAUGUUUCUAUUAUUUUAUAUUUUUUUUGUUAUAAUAAUUCUUUUUUGUUCAAAGUUUUAAUUAACUUUAUGUUUUUCAAGAUGAUGACAUGCUGGAUUUUAAUCAACAAAAAAAAAAAUAAUUAAAUAUUGGCUUAAUAAAAGAAAAUAUAUUAUAAAAAUGUUUUUUUUAUUGUUUAUUUUUCAAAGGUGGACAUGCUUAUUUUUUUUAAUGUUUAUUUUUAGGACGAUGAAAAAAAGUUCGAUAUUCGACAACUAUUUGAUUCGGGUUCGGUUAGAUUUGAUUCGGUUAUUAAAUGAAUCGAAUCCAAAUCAAAAAGUAGGUUAUAUAGCAACCCAACUGACUAUGAUUUAUUAAUAGUUAUCUUAUCUAUGUAUUAAUUAAUAUUAUUAACCUAUUAUUAUUUUUUAAAUUUUCUAUUUUUCCUAAACCCCGUAUCCCUUAAGCUCCUUAUAGUGUCUAGGUCAGGUUCGGACCCAACAUUUUGUUUGCUGAACCUUAUAGUCUACUGGGUCUGGGUCCACCAUAGAUCCGAGCCGGGGUUAGUCAAUGGUUAAAACGUGAUUAGAAUCUAACUACACAAGAAACACGACAACUAAUUAAAUAGUGGUAAAUCCAUCAUAAUUAUUCAUACAUAAUUAUAUAGCAUAGAAAAGACAAAAUCUUUCAUUCGUCAUAUCGAGAUAAAAUGAGUGGAGUGCCAUGUUGUGGAUGCAAAGUCAAGAAAAAAAACGGCGCAUGGAGGUAAGAUGGCGAAAGUUCAAACUUGAAACGUUGCAGAAUCAUAGCCAACCCCAGUUUUGCUUCUGUCAUCGCAAAGCUCUGACCAAUACAAGUUCGAGAUCCAGCUCCGAAAGGAAAGAAGAUCAUCUUGUUCUUGGUUGCUUUAGAUAUGCCUUGGGAGAACCUCUCUGGUUUGAACUCUUUCACAUCGUCACCCCAGAGGGACGGAUCGUGGUGCAUGGUGAGUAUGGGCAACCGGAAUUCCAUUCCACUUGGAAAACUGUACCCACCUAUAUUCAUGGCGUGGUGAGCCAUUCGUGCCAGGAAUAAGACCGGAGGAUAUAAUCUGAGGACCUCGUAUAGGAUCAUUGUUACCUGAAUCAAUACAACAACACAAACAAUUCAAAAUCGACAAUCAGGUAAUGGAAAUAUAACAAGGUUGACUGAUUUCUUACGAUCUUCAACUGAUUCAUGUCGCUAAAAACAGGCUGUUUUCUUCCACAUACUUGUAAAACUUCUUGUCGAGCAAGAUGUUGCCAAUUUGGAUACAUACUCAAAACAACUAGCGUCCAGUUGAGUAAAACUGAAGUGGUCUCUUGUCCGGCAAAGUAGAACAACUUGCAUUCCCCUAUCAUUUCAUCUGUGGUGAUCCCUGUUGUUUCUUGAUUUGAAUUUGAAUCCAUUAAGAAACCCAACAAAUCAUCAUGACUAGCAGAGGAAGAAGUUGAAGCUGGGUUUGUUGCAAUCGACUGUUCUCGCUUCUUAAUGAUACCUCUCAACAAAUCACAAACCUCACUAUCGAUUUCCUUCCUUCUUCUGUUAUUUCUUGUUGGAACAAACCUGCAAACAAUCACUCACAAAAAAGAAUGAGAAUGAAUGAGAAUAAAUGAGACGAGAACAGUCUAUUCAUACCCAAACCGAUACUCACUUCAACCCAGGAAUGUAGAUGGAUCGAACGGCUUGAAUUAAAAGUUCGACUUGUUCGGUUUGGAGUUGGAAUAUCCUUCUUCCCUCCAGGUAACUACUACCGAAAGCUGAUCGGGAAAUGAUAUCUCCGGUCAGAUUUUCGAGUUCAGGCCAGACGUCUAGUUCCACUGAUUCUCCGCUGCCGAGAAGUUUUUCCCACCUAUCAAUCAAUUCGCUGCAACAACAAGAAAAUGCCCCAUACAUCUUCUGUUGUUCAAAAAAUUAGAAAUCAAUUGAAAAGAAGUAAAAAUAAAUAUCCUAAAUAAAUAAUCCAAUCGGAUGAAAGAUAACCUUCAAUUUGUCGACAUGAAAAACGGGAUUUAUAAUCUUUCUACGAUCGACCCACUUCUGACCUUGUAAAUUAACCAGACCGUUGAGAAGAUACCCUCCCAACGGAUGUAUCGGUGUCUUAUCGAUAUGUCCAGAUUUGUCGCACAUAAUUUCUCUUACAAGCUUUGGAUCCGUGACAAUAACUAUCGGAGAAGUACCCAACCACAAAUAACACAGCUUGCCACCGCAAUCUUCAACAACUUGACUGAAGAAGGGACUGGCUCUUCUUAAGAUGUCGUUUGAGAAAGGAGCUAUUGGUCUGGAUACAGCUUCUUUGGUUUGUUUGACCAGUUUCCGUAGAUCGCCGAAGAGAAUCGUGUACGGCGUUCCUUUGAUUCCUUGAGAUUGGAGAAGCUUCUCAAGCUUCUUGGGCUUCCACCAUAACCACUCUACUGUUCUUAGAAUAACUGUGCCGACACAUCCCACCAACAACAACAAACCCACAAACUCAGCAGACCAAAACUUCAUAAUCCUCCACACUCGAUCAGAGACUCAGAGUGAUAUGGAUGACUUUCCCGAGCUGAGUGAUACGUAUGAUCAUCACAUAUUUCUGCGGUGGCUAAAUAUCUAACGUUUGCUUCCAAAAAAAAUAAAUAAUAAUGAUAAAAUAAAAUAAAAAUCUAACGUAGUAACGUGUCAAAUUAUUCUUAUGAGAAUGGGUCCGGGUCGACCCACGAUUAAAAUUAUUUAAGGUUAUGGGUUUUAUUCUUCGAUAUUAAGGAUACAAUUUUCCGAGAUCGGGUUAGUCAGUCAUUUUUGAAGUUGGGUUUGAAUCGGUAUGAUUUUAAUAAACUGUUAAUACUUUGAAUAUGUGGUCGUAUGUUAUCGUGAUCAUUAAUAUUUAAUUUAAUAGUUAAAAUAAUAUACGAUGUAAAAUAAUACACUACACAAGAAACUAACACAUAAAUUGACAUGUUCACUUUGACACAUAUUAAAUUCGUUUUGUAAUUAAUAUAAAUCAUCAGAAUACUAUUGUAUUAAUAUAAAUCAUUAAAUAUUUGUAUUAGAGAUAUACCCUUGUAUUCCAGUAAAAAUUAUAAAUAUAAUUUUAUUGUAAAUAUUAAUCUCAUAUCCCUGAGAUUCAUAGAUAUUAGAAAUAUAACAUUAUGGUAAAUAUACAUUAUAUCGUGAAUAUUAAUCUUAACCCUAUAUUUAAUUUUAACUCCUCACAUUCCUUUUUAAGAAUUCUCAUUUAUAUUAAUUCCACAUCCAACAUAUUUAAUUCCAUAUUUGUAAUCAAUACUAAACACCAAUAUAAUCGUUGGGUGUUUACUAUUUAAACUAACCUUAACCUUUAUCAUAGAUCACGUUCUUACACUCUAUAAUCACUCAACACAAAAAGCGCUGAUCAUCUUCAACACAAUUGUUUGCCCACAUCACAACACAAUUGGAUCUUUAUCAAAUCUGCAAUCAUGCAUUGGAUCUUCAGCAAUUUUAAUUUAUACGGUUGAACUUGAAAAUUGCAGUACCUGAAAUAUAUGAAGCUCAGUAUCUCUUCGCUAUUUCGUUGUGCUCUGCCAUAGCUAACCAUGAAUUGUACAUUCUGACAGGCUUUUUACAAUAUACUCCUUGGUUGAAUAGCUACCGAUUGUGCGAGGUGGUUACUGUAUCCGUGUAAGAGAUUGGUAAAUAUAGAAGGCCAAGUCAAAUUCCAGUGACCAUUGGCCAAAGCCCGGUCAAUUCUACUAGCCCAGUAGUUCUGCCCAAUCCCACCAUUGCACCAAGUAUAAUAGUCCCCAACAUAGUCCAGCUUAGUCAGACCUGCUUGUGUGAUUGCACUGGCAAAGUAUGAAAGCAUUGAUCUGUUUCCUUGAGAUCAUAUAUCUACAUAUGUUGCUAGGAGGAUUUUGUUGAAGUCACCGAGCAAAAUCCAAUUUUCUUGCAAGAGUUCAGGAGUUAGAUAGACAAUAUCUCAAGCCCAUACUUCUUCUCUAAUUUCAACUUCAUUCUUACAAUAAACCACAGUCACAAACAGUGAUAGACCUCCCGUGUGUUUUAAUUUCAUGUGGAUUCGUUAGGUCUUCCUUCACACUGAUGAUUUCUGCAUCCCAAAUAAUUGGGUUCCAUAAGACCCAAAUUGAGCCCCCCUACCCAUUGGGUUUCAAUUCGAAAUAGAUGCCCAGUUUCUGCCAAAGAAGUCCUUAGUGAGUUGUUCAUUAACUUGCUUGAUUUUAGUUUCAAGCAAGCCUAAAAUUGCAACGUUGUAUUUAAAACAGUUUUUCUUAAUCUCAUUCUUCCUACUGUUCCUUACAUCCCUGCUGAUCAUUUUUUCUUUGGAGUUAGGUUGUCCGUCGUUUUUUCCACUGUGAUGCUUUGGAUUCGAGAUAUAGGCGAUCUUCCUUGUAGAGUGUGAUGAUUCUGGAUGGGCCGUACUCUUCUCAGCAGUCUGAUGUGGCAUCUUCUUCCUCCAGUAUCUGGCCAGUAGACCAAACAGCAGGGAUUCACUGUCAGGAAGAGGCAGGGAGACUCCUCUGUUUGGAGCUUGGUUCUAAACGCCUCCAGGUUUAUUUUAGGGUCAAGGAACAAUUGGCAAAGAUUAGCUAAUUGAUUAAAGGUCUUAAACAGACCUUAGUUAUCCAAACAGAGUCUGUAAAUGUAUUAACAUUAAAUUGAAUAAAGGAUGUGGAUUAAAUAAAUAAUUCCUACAGAACCUUUAAUCAAUUUAGUGUCAAGUUUCUAUGUGCAGGUAAAUUUCCCAGACUUAUAGAAACUUGAAAGUGUUGUAAAGAUAAUUGUUUAAAUAAAAGAAACGGGCCAAUAACUAAA